UCCCCAGGUCAGAGCCAUCACUGAGAAGGCCCUGGCCCUGGAUCCAGCAGGGCCAGGGCCUUCUCAGUGAUGGCUCCAACCUGGUGA
This is a non-coding RNA of Podarcis lilfordi (Lilford's wall lizard), 87 nucleotides long. Lineage: Eukaryota; Metazoa; Chordata; Lepidosauria; Squamata; Lacertidae. The record is from the annotation of a GenBank genome assembly.